GUAGGUGAACCUGCGGAAGGAUCAUUAACGAAUAACUAUGGUGUCUUGGCUGUAGCUGGCUCUUCGGAGCAAUGUGCACGCCCGCCAUUUUUAUCUUUCCACCUGUGCACCGACUGUAGGUCUGGAUACCUCUCGUCUCUCUUGAGAGGCGGAUGUGGGGAUUGCUCGUAAGGGCUCUCCUCAAAUUUCCAGGCUCUACGUCUUUUUACACACCCCAAUAGUAUGAUGUAGAAUGUAGUCAAUGGGCUUCUUAGCCUAUAAAACACUAUACAACUUUCAGCAACGGAUCUCUUGGCUCUC
RNAcentral lists this unclassified non-coding RNA (300 nucleotides) under rhizosphere metagenome. RNAcentral describes it as "partial ribosomal RNA internal transcribed spacer region". The record is from RNAcentral.